UUCUUGGGCGAAGAGAUUGAAUGUCUGCAGCAGACAGCGGUUUUAAUGGGAUAAAAACGCUUUUUACCGAGUUUAUUGGGAAUAUUUCAAUGUGAACGUGUUUUUUGACAACAUUUACAACAUUGUGUCGGAGGAUUUCUGUAACUUUUGUCAAAGUGUAGAGCGGAAACCAUGCCCCUGUGCCUGCAGUAACAUCAAAAGGAGAUACUCCAGACCCAACCUUAACCAACAUCCACGUAUGAAAUAACGAUUCUACAGAGCAGGUUCCAAACAACGUCACAGCGGUGACAGGUACGAUAUAAUAAGUAUGCAACCAUUAAUAGGAAGUUUAGAGAAGAGGCUCGCCCUGUUGUGUAUUUAAAUGUGACUUGGUUGAACAAAAUAUGUAACGAGGGGAGAUUGGGUGGACUGUCCUAUGACAUCUAUCUUUGCCUUUGAGUCUCAUCGUGGAGGUCAUGGGCGUUUUGUCUAAUCUGGGAAUGGCUCUCGUCUUAUCAUUGUGGAUACAGGUUCAUGAUCCCAGGAUCUGCUUUCAUUUUUGAUUCGAAAACAGGCAUCCAGGAUUAUCAUGACGAAAUGGAACUCAGAAAACUUCACGAAGUGGUUCACUGAGCAGUUACUUCCUAACUUUACCGGCCAAUUCAGUCAUAGUGAUGGAUAUCCUUACUAUCACAGUCAUCUGGAUCUUGAGUCUAAGUGUCUGACUUCGUCGGCACCGAAGGCAGAGAUCCAAUCUUGGCUUGAUAGAAAGGAUAUCCAUAACACUCCGGAGAGGAUAAAGACUGAAUUGAUCACAUUGGAGAAGCAACAUAAGCCUCUGACCUUGUACUGUGAGCCGUAAAUUUGGCGUCAGCUCUCAUUCCUAGAGAUUGCGGCGAAGAAAGCCUAAGGUUUUGCAUGAUUUGACUCGGAUAUUAUAGAUGUGUUCCGUCAAGUUAAGCUUGAUGUUUAAAGUAUCACCUAGGUACUUUUCACUGCUAACUGACUCUAGGGAGUGUCCAUGAAGAAGGUACUUGUUGUGUACGAGUCGCUGUUUCUUAAAGACAUGGAAGACUGUACAUUUCGGGGGGGAUUCCAUUUGCGAACUUCGUUCCCUUUUCUCUAGAGACAUGAAAUUUAGUUGGAGUUGCUCAGCAUCUUCUAUGAAAUUGAUUUUUCGAUGAAAAAAUCCGCAGUGAUACGUCUGAUAUUAAAUAUUUGAUGCAAAAUUUCGAGCAAUUUAAUCAUGAUUAACAAUGCAAGCAAUUUACUAUAAUAAGUCCGUCAACAAGGGAGAGCACCAAUUGCGAUUAUGACACGAUAUCUUCCGAAACAACAAGUGAAUAGAACCCCGACAAAAUAAAUACAUUGUCAGAGAAACAACGACACUUACAGUUCUGGAAUCAACAGCUUAAAUUCCGAAGGAUAGUGUUUUGGAAUGUCCGAAAGUCAGAGAGUAAGAAGAGAAAGGUUAGUAUUGGAAGAAUUCAAA
Molecule: long non-coding RNA, 1471 nt
Organism: Magallana angulata
Lineage: Eukaryota; Metazoa; Mollusca; Bivalvia; Ostreida; Ostreidae
Exons: 3
Source: RefSeq, a predicted model, not a curated record